GCAUCCCAGGGAAUCUAAAGUGUCAUUUCCUCUCUGGAAGAAAGGAAGCAGAAAACAUGCUAGUCACACUUCCUGUGAUGGUGUGAGAUGAUGGAAUGCCUACAUGAUGAAACGAAAUGAGGCUUCACUGACUUCAAUCAAUCAAUGUUGGCAUAUUAUAGAACUUAAGAUUUGGAAUCUUAUCUUCUGAUCUGAUAAUUUUCCAUUUGAUGAGGAAAAGCAUUAAGCCCAGACAGUCUGUGCAUUUCCCAGAACAUGGGUUGAUUUUAUGUGCACAAAAAGUGGACAGUGAGCCCUUCAACACACUCUUCUCAAUGCAGGUGAAGCCUGUGUGGGUAGUAGUCAUCUCAUAACCAUGGCUGAAAACCACAAGCUAAGAAUGGCAGGACAGGAGGCUAGGAGAAGCCUGGACCUGAGGAAAUUCUUGAAGACCGCACAAGCCCAUGUUUACGCAAUACAAGAUGACUCCUGCCCUUCUAGGAAGAAUCUCUUACUAAAAUGAAAGAUUACUUGGAAUUUCUGGUUGACUGGAGAC
Long non-coding RNA from Mustela erminea (ermine), 535 nucleotides. RefSeq lists it as uncharacterized. Lineage: Eukaryota; Metazoa; Chordata; Mammalia; Carnivora; Mustelidae. The transcript is spliced from 7 exons. The record is from RefSeq and is a predicted model, not a curated record.